AGAGUUUGAUUCUGGCUCAGAACGAACGCUGGCAGCGUGGAUUAGGCAUGCAAGUCGAACGGGAAGCCGAUGAUCAAUCUUUCGGGAAAGUGAGUCGGUGGAGAGUGGCGAAAGGGUGAGUAACGCGUGGAUAAUCUGCCUCUAAGUUGGGAAUAACCACUCGAAAGAGGGGCUAAUGCCGGAUGUGGUUGCUCGUCGUUGGACGGGUCAACUAAAGGUGGGGAUCCUUCGGGACCUGCCGCUUGGAGAGGAGUCCGCGUCCCAUCAGCUUGUUGGUAGGGUAAUGGCCUACCAAGGCUUACGGGUAGGUGGUCUGAGAGGAUGGUCACCCACACUGGGACUGAGACACUGCCCAGACUCCUACGGGAGGCUGCAGUCGAGGAUCAUUCGCAAUGCGCGAAAGCGUGACGAUGCGACGCUGCGUGGAGGGUGAAGGCCUUCGGGUCGUAAACUCCUGUCAUUCGGGAAAAAUGGCAAGAGAGUUAACAACUCUCUUGUUUGAUGGUACCGAAAGAGGAAGCCACGGCUAACUCUGUGCCAGCAGCCGCGGUAAUACAGAGGUGGCGAGCGUUGUUCGGAUUCACUGGGCGUAAAGGGUGCGUAGGCGGCUUUGUGUGUCGGUUGUGAAAGCCUGUGGCUCAACCACAGAACUGCGACCGAAACUACAGAGCUAGAGUGCAGGAUGGGAGAGCGGAAUUCUUGGUGUAGCGGUGAAAUGCGUUGAUAUCAAGAAGAACACCGGUGGCGAAGGCGGCUCUCUGGAAUGUCACUGACGCUGAGGCACGAAAGCUGGGGGAGCAAACAGGAUUAGAUACCCUGGUAGUCCCAGCCGUAAACGGUGUGGACUUGGUGUUGGAGGAAUGGACCCCUUCAGUGCCGGAGCUAACGCGUUAAGUCCACCGCCUGGGGAGUACGGCCGCAAGGUUAAAACUCAAAGAAAUUGACGGGGGCCCGCACAAGCGGAGGAGCAUGUGGCUUAAUUCGAUGCAACGCGAAGAACCUUACCAGGGCUUGACAUGUAGCUGCACGCCCGCCGAAAGGUGGGAAGCCUUCGAGGGUGCUACACAGGUGCUGCAUGGCUGUCGUCAGUUCGUGCCGUGAGGUGUUGGGUUAAGUCCCGCAACGAACGCAACCCUUGUGUCUAGUUGCCACUCCGUCUUUGGCGGAAGCACUCUAGACAGACUGCCCGUACAAGCGGGAGGAAGGUGGGGAUGACGUCAAGUCAGUAUGGCCCUUACGCCCUGGGCUGCACACGUGCUACAAUGGUCGGUACAGUGGGAUGCAAUACCGCGAGGUGGAGCCAAUCCAUAAAACCGGCCUCAGUUCGGAUUGGAGUCUGCAACUCGACUCCAUGAAGUUGGAUUCGCUAGUAACGGCGCAUCAGCUACGGCGCCGUGAAUACGUUCCCGGGCCUUGUACACACCGCCCGUCACAUCAUGAAAGCCGUCUGCACCCGUAGUCACUGAGCUAACCCGCAAGGGAGGCAGGUGCCGAAGGUGUGGGUGGUGAUUGGGAUGAAGUCGUAACAAGGUA
RNAcentral lists this ribosomal RNA (1533 nucleotides) under metagenome. Its description in RNAcentral is "bacterial SSU rRNA". It matches the Rfam family "Bacterial small subunit ribosomal RNA". The record is from RNAcentral.